AAAAAUCAAAAUGUCAUGUCACUGACCUCAUAAUUCAUAAUAUUAUCUAAAAUUUCAGAUAAACUUAAACUUAAAUAAUUAUGUGAAUCUCAUCUCUGGAUAAAUGAGAAAGUGCGAAAAAGCAAUAUUGAAAUAGCAAGCAGAACAUUGUGCAGAGUGCGCGAAGCUCCCUGACCCCGAAGUUACAAAGACAAAGAUAGGUACAUAAAUAACUCCCAACGAGGUAAAAGUUAUGAGACGAAGUUGAUAGAAUUCUCUGCUGAAAGUUUAAGUGCAAAUGAUUUGGGAGUUCACAAAAACUAGAGCAGCUGGUCAAAAUUGUGUUGAUUGCCGGCUUGCCCAAACAUUGAACAAGGAAGUACCGGCUUGGGAGAUGAUCAUGUGGUAGUGAGAACUUCAAGUUGGGGGAGGCGCCACCAUGUCUACACUUAAAAUAUUCAUAUUUGUAUCAUACAUCUGAAAAUGUAAAAAUUUAAUUGUACCUUAAUAUAGUACAUUGUUUUCAUUUUAAGUUUAAUAAAAAUGAAAUUAAAAGUAUACAUAAGUACUGCAAGUUUUUAAAUGAUUUAUCGACUCUUUAUUAUGCAAAUACAAUAAUUGAUUUAAAUAUAAAAUAAAAAUAUAAAUACCAACUAUUAGUGUAGGAAUUAUUCAUUGCGAUGUAAAUAUAAAGUUUUUGUUUAUUGCAUUUUAAGUUUUAAAAGCUGGUAUUAUAAAUAAGACUUUAUUUUUUUAAUCAAGAGUCUUUUUAAUAUG
This is a long non-coding RNA of Colias croceus (clouded yellow), 756 nucleotides long. RefSeq lists it as uncharacterized. The record is from RefSeq and is a predicted model, not a curated record. Lineage: Eukaryota; Metazoa; Arthropoda; Insecta; Lepidoptera; Pieridae. The transcript is spliced from 3 exons.